UGGGGAAUAUUGCACAAUGGGGGAAACCCUGAUGCAGCAACGCCGCGUGAGUGAUGACGGCCUUCGGGUUGGAAAGCUCUGUCUUCAGGGACGAUAAUGACGGUACCUGAGGAGGAAGCCACGGCUAACUACGUGCCAGCAGCCGCGGUAAUACGGAGGUGGCAAGCGUUGUCCGGAUUUACUGGGCGUAAAGGGAGCGUAGGCGGACUUUUAAGUGAGAUGUGAAAUACCCGGGCUCAACCUGGGUGCUGCAUUUCAAACUGGAAGUCUAGAGUGCAGGAGAGGAGAGUGGAAUUCCUAGUGUAGCGGUGAAAUGCGUAGAGAUUAGGAAGAACACCAGUGGCGAAGGCGACUCUCUGGACUGUAACUGACGCUGAGGCUCGAAAGCGUGGGGAGCAAACA
Molecule: ribosomal RNA, 402 nt
Filed under: uncultured bacterium
Lineage: Bacteria
Description: bacterial SSU rRNA
Rfam family: Bacterial small subunit ribosomal RNA
Source: RNAcentral